This 460-nucleotide ribosomal RNA is filed under the name uncultured bacterium. Its description in RNAcentral is "partial 16S ribosomal RNA". It matches the Rfam family "Bacterial small subunit ribosomal RNA", at positions 338 to 795 of the family's 1533-position model. The record is from RNAcentral.
CCUACGGGUGGCAGCAGUGAGGAAUAUUGGUCAAUGGACGAGAGUCUGAACCAGCCAAGUAGCGUGAAGGUUGACUGCCCUAUGGGUUGUAAACUCCUUUUAUAUGGGAAUAAAAUGUUCCACGUGUGGGAUUUUGUAUGUACCAUAUGAAUAAGGAUCGGCUAACUCCGUGCCAGCAGCCGCGGUAAUACGGAGGAUCCGAGCGUUAUCCGGAUUUAUUGGGUUUAAAGGGAGCGUAGGUGGAUUGUUAAGUCAGUUGUGAAAGUUUGCGGUUCAACCGUAAAAUUGCAGUUGAAACUGGCAGUCUUGAGUGCAGGAGAGGUGGGCGGAAUGCGUGGUGUAGCGGUGAAAUGCUUAGAUAUCACGAAGAACACCGAUUGCGAAGGCAGUUCACUGGACUGCAACUGACACUGAGGCUCGAAAGUGUGGGUAUCAAACAGGAUUAGAUACCCCAGUAGUC